UUGAACGCUGGCGGCAUGCCUUACACAUGCAAGUCGAACGGUAGAGGGGCAACCCUUGAGAGUGGCGAACGGGUGAGUAAUGCAUCGGAACGUGCCCAGUCGUGGGGGAUAACGCAGCGAAAGCUGUGCUAAUACCGCAUGUGAUCUGUGGAUGAAAGCAGGGGACCGCAAGGCCUUGUGCGAUUGGAGCGGCCGAUGUCAGAUUAGCUAGUUGGUAGGGUAAAAGACCUACCAAGGCGACGAUCUGUAGCUG
RNAcentral lists this ribosomal RNA (253 nucleotides) under uncultured bacterium. RNAcentral's name for it is "partial 16S ribosomal RNA". It matches the Rfam family "Bacterial small subunit ribosomal RNA", at positions 30 to 289 of the family's 1533-position model. The record is from RNAcentral.